CAAUAGCGUAUAUUAAAGUUGUUGCGGUAAAAAGCUCGUAGUUGGAUUUCUGUUGAGAACAACCGGUCCACACAACGUGUGCGCAUCUGGCUUGGUCUCGGCAUCCUCUCGCAGCACUGCUCUGCGCUUGAUUGCGUGGACAGGACUUCGGGACUUUACUUUGAGGAAAUUAGAGUGUUCACGGCAGGCUAUCGCCAGGAUACAUUAGCAUGGAAUAAUACUAUAGGAUCUUGAUCCUAUUUUGUUGGUUUCUAGGAUUAAGAUAAUGAUUAAUAGGGACAAUUGGGGGCAUUCGUAUCAACACGUCAGAGGUGGAAUUCUUGGAUUGUGUUGCGACGAACUACUGCGAAAGCAUUUGCCAAGGAUGUUUUUCAUUGAUCAAGAACGAAAGUUAGGGGAUCGAAGACGAUCAGAU
RNAcentral lists this ribosomal RNA (415 nucleotides) under uncultured eukaryote. RNAcentral's name for it is "SSU rRNA". It matches the Rfam family "Eukaryotic small subunit ribosomal RNA", at positions 592 to 1013 of the family's 1831-position model. The record is from RNAcentral.